GAGCCGAUUUCCCCCAACACCUGGCACCUACUGCCCCCUCCCUGGCUCUCUGCUGGGCUCAGCCCGCUGGCGCGCACGACCCUGACGGCAAGAGAUCACGAAUAGGUUUUCAGCACCCAGGACAAGAGCUGCCGCGGCGCCCGGGAAACGCUCCGGGUCGGCUCUGCGCUCGCGUCCCGCCGCCCUCUCCGCCAUCCCCCGCCGGGACUUUCCCUCCCACCAGGCUCUCGGUCCCGCAGUCCCACCCUCCGGGAAACCGCUUCCAAAAACACCUUCCCAAAGCCAGGAGAAAGGGUGUCCCUGGCCAAGGACUUCCUGCCCGCCCUGCCCGGGUUUGUUCCGAGGCGCCAGGGCUGUUUUUUCUUUACCGCCCAUUUCUCUGCCUGUGUGUAUAAAAAGCCUUAGGUUCGAUUUUUGAUUUGGGUCUGGGAGAUGACUUGGCUUCUGGAACAUUUCUCCUCGCUUUAGAUUUUACUUAAACUCUUAAGAUAAUUCGGGAGUUGCGGAGCAAAUUACUUUUUCUUCCUUUCUAACUGGACCUCUUGGAUCUGAUUUUUUCCUGGUCUCUGAUAAUAAAUUAAGUAAAUACUUUUUAAAAUAAAUACUUUUUUUAAAAAAAAUCAAACAAUUCUUUUGCAGUGUUUGAACUAUUCCUGCUCAGUCGAUAUGAAUUUUUAAAAACUAGAGGAACACAUACCCACAAAAACUGUGUAUCAGGACUUUGGCAUUAGCUUCUAAACAGCCUUUCUGAAUAAUUGUUCUCCUUUUUAAAAUACUAAUUAUAAAGCAUAAAUGAAUUUCAUAUCCCAGGGUGAUGAUUAGUAGAAUUUCUACAAGGAUCAAUUUUCUGGUCCCUUGUAAAUUUCAGCUAUUUUACUGUUGAAGUCACCAGGAUUUGACAUAUCCAGAUAGAACACACUAAAAUAAAAUGUCACCAUUUGGGGCUGGAAUUGUGGCUCAGUGGUAGAGUGCUUGCCUGGCAUAUGUGAGGCAUGUGGAUCCUCAGCACCACAUAAAAAUAAAAUAAAUUAAAUAAAGGUAUUGUGUCCAUCCACAACUUAUAAAUUUUUUUAAAAAGUCACCAUUUCAUUCCUUUCCUUCCAAAAUCCUUUUAAAAUCUCAUUGAUCUGAAACUAAUAAUAGCAAAAUGCAAAGCAGAAAUUGUUCUUCUCUCUGACCAUUUGGUGGCUCUUUACUACACCAACUUUUUAAAAUUUUAAGAUGUAUCAGAAUGUUGAAAACUCAGUGAAUUAAGAUAAACAUAUUCCAAGACAGAAUAUGGUUCACCCCUUUUCACUUUGUUUUUUGAUUUUUUGUUUUGUUCUCUUUUGGUUUUGGUUACCUAAAAUGAGUGACUGAAAAAUCCUAACCAUUGAUAUUUUCAUCCUUUCAUCAAAACUUUUUGACCCUUGUUAACUUAAACAUCCAGACCACAUUUUAUUUCCCCACACCACACAAAACAGCCCUUCCUAUUCACUUAAUAAAAAUAUAUUGAGGUGUAUACUUUGUGCAGCAAUGUGCUCACCGAACAAAACUGCUUAAAUAUGUGGUGGGAACCGGUUAACACCAUAAAAGUGGAGCUUUCUAAGUUAAAAACUAAAAGGAAUAGUGAAGUUGUCCUUGCAAAAAUGAUAUUAGAUAUAACAUUAUUCUCACUAAUAGGCCAAGAUGUCAAUCUUACCUAUAAUUAACAAGGAACUUCUAGAGAUAAUAUCUUUACCCUAUAGAAUGACCCUAAUAAUAGAUUUUUAUAAACAGCAAACUUUUUCUCCUCCUUAAACUCACCUUUAUAGACGUCACAUCCUUGCCCACUUCCUUAAUCUGAGUUGUAUUCUUUUUUAAUUGAAAGAAGUAUCAGAGGGGUCCAUGAAAAUGAAGAGUAUUGAAGAAGCAGUGAGAGCCAAGAAAGGGGAAGAGAGGGAUCCUCAAGUCAUGUUCCAGGUUUCUGAGCACAGAGUUGCCUGAAGCUUUCCUCCAGGUGCAGUGCCAUCUCUAUUCAGUUCAGAUGAUAAAUUUUGGAUUAACUCAAAAUAUAUAUGAUCCCUGAUUUACAAUGGUUCUACUUAAACUCUUUCAACUUGAAGUUGGUGCAAAAGUGAUACAUUGUGGGAGGCCAACCUUACGGG
Ictidomys tridecemlineatus (thirteen-lined ground squirrel) is the source of this 2126-nucleotide non-coding RNA. Lineage: Eukaryota; Metazoa; Chordata; Mammalia; Rodentia; Sciuridae. The record is from RefSeq and is a predicted model, not a curated record.